UGCAGUCGAGCGGACAGAUGGGAGCUUGCUCCCUGAUGUUAGCGGCGGACGGGUGAGUAACACGUGGGUAACCUGCCUGUAAGACUGGGAUAACUCCGGGAAACCGGGGCUAAUACCGGAUGCUUGUUUGAACCGCAUGGUUCAAACAUAAAAGGUGGCUUCGGCUACCACUUACAGAUGGACCCGCGGCGCAUUAGCUAGUUGGUGAGGUAACGGCUCACCAAGGCAACGAUGCGUAGCCGACCUGAGAGGGUGAUCGGCCACACUGGGACUGAGACACGGCCCAGACUCCUACGGGAGGCAGCAGUAGGGAAUCUUCCGCAAUGGACGAAAGUCUGACGGAGCAACGCCGCGUGAGUGAUGAAGGUUUUCGGAUCGUAAAGCUCUGUUGUUAGGGAAGAACAAGUACCGUUCGAAUAGGGCGGUACCUUGACGGUACCUAACCAGAAAGCCACGGCUAACUACGUGCCAGCAGCCGCGGUAAUACGUAGGUGGCAAGCGUUGUCCGGAAUUAUUGGGCGUAAAGGGCUCGCAGGCGGUUUCUUAAGUCUGAUGUGAAAGCCCCCGGCUCAACCGGGGAGGGUCAUUGGAAACUGGGGAACUUGAGUGCAGAAGAGGAGAGUGGAAUUCCACGUGUAGCGGUGAAAUGCGUAGAGAUGUGGAGGAACACCAGUGGCGAAGGCGACUCUCUGGUCUGUAACUGACGCUGAGGAGCGAAAGCGUGGGGAGCGAACAGGAUUAGAUACCCUGGUAGUCCACGCCGUAAACGAUGAGUGCUAAGUGUUAGGGGGUUUCCGCCCCUUAGUGCUGCAGCUAACGCAUUAAGCACUCCGCCUGGGGAAUACGGUCGCAAGACUGAAACUCAAAGGAAUUGACGGGGGCCCGCACAAGCGGUGGAACAUGUGGUUAAUUCCAAGCAACGCGAAAACCUUACCAGGUCUUGACUCCUCUGACAUCCUAAAAAUAGGACGCCCCUUCCGGGGCAAAUGACGGGUGGUG
Molecule: ribosomal RNA, 999 nt
Filed under: Bacillus sp. (in: firmicutes)
Lineage: Bacteria; Bacillati; Bacillota; Bacilli; Caryophanales; Bacillaceae
Description: bacterial SSU rRNA
Rfam family: Bacterial small subunit ribosomal RNA
Source: RNAcentral